AGGAUGCCCAGUUAAAUUUGAAUUCAGAUAAACAAUGAAUACUUUUUUAGUGUAAGUAUUUCCCUUGAAAUGUUUGGGACAUAUUUAUGCCAAAAAUUAUUUGUUGAUUAUAGGAAAUUCAAGUUUAACUUAGCAUGUCUG
RNAcentral lists this microRNA precursor (141 nucleotides) under Choloepus hoffmanni (Hoffmann's two-fingered sloth). Its description in RNAcentral is "miRNA (ENSCHOG00000015046.1)". The record is from RNAcentral. Lineage: Eukaryota; Metazoa; Chordata; Mammalia; Pilosa; Megalonychidae.